This 387-nucleotide ribosomal RNA is filed under the name uncultured bacterium. RNAcentral describes it as "bacterial SSU rRNA". It matches the Rfam family "Bacterial small subunit ribosomal RNA", at positions 30 to 400 of the family's 1533-position model. The record is from RNAcentral.
AGUGAACGCUGGCGGCAGGCCUAACACAUGCAAGUCGAGCGGCAGCGGGUCCCCGCGAGGGGAUGCCGGCGAGCGGCGGACGGGUGAGGAACACAUCGGAAUCUGCCUGGUUGUGGGGGAUAACGUAGGGAAACUUACGCUAAUACCGCAUGCGACCCUGAGUCGACGGACUUGGGGUGAAAGUGAGGGACCUUCGGGCCUCACGCGACCAGAUGAGCCGAUGUCGGAUAGCUAGUUGGCGGGGUAACGGCCCGCCAAGGCGACGAUCCGUAGCUGGUCUGAGAGGAUGAUCAGCCACACUGGGACUGAGACACGGCCCAGACUCCUACGGGAGGCAGCAGUGGGGAAUCUUGGACAAUGGGCGCAAGCCUGAUCCAGCCAUGCCGC